Molecule: unclassified non-coding RNA, 341 nt
Filed under: soil metagenome
Description: partial contains 5.8S ribosomal RNA, internal transcribed spacer 2, and large subunit ribosomal RNA
Rfam family: 5.8S ribosomal RNA (bases 1-120)
Source: RNAcentral
GAUGAAGAACGCAGCGAAAUGCGAUAAGUAGUGUGAAUUGCAGGAUUCAGUGAAUCAUCGAAUCUUUGAACGCACAUUGCGCCCUUUGGUAUUCCAAAGGGCAUGCCUGUUCGAGCGUCAUUUGUACCCUCAAGCUUUGCUUGGUGUUGGGCGUCUUGUCUCUAGCUUUGCUGGAGACUCGCCUUAAAGUAAUUGGCAGCCGGCCUACUGGUUUCGGAGCGCAGCACAAGUCGCACUCUCUAUCAGCAAAGGUCUAGCAUCCAUUAAGCCUUUUUUUCAACUUUUGACCUCGGAUCAGGUAGGGAUACCCGCUGAACUUAAGCAUAUCAAUAAGCGGAGGA